RNAcentral lists this ribosomal RNA (263 nucleotides) under Rahnella aquatilis. Its description in RNAcentral is "partial 16S ribosomal RNA". It matches the Rfam family "Bacterial small subunit ribosomal RNA", at positions 1109 to 1372 of the family's 1533-position model. Lineage: Bacteria; Pseudomonadati; Pseudomonadota; Gammaproteobacteria; Enterobacterales; Yersiniaceae. The record is from RNAcentral.
CCUUUGUUGCCAGCACUUCGGGUGGGAACUCAAAGGAGACUGCCGGUGAUAAACCGGAGGAAGGUGGGGAUGACGUCAAGUCAUCAUGGCCCUUACGAGUAGGGCUACACACGUGCUACAAUGGCGUAUACAAAGAGAAGCAAACUCGCGAGAGCCAGCGGACCUCAUAAAGUACGUCGUAGUCCGGAUUGGAGUCUGCAACUCGACUCCAUGAAGUCGGAAUCGCUAGUAAUCGUAGAUCAGAAUGCUACGGUGAAUACGUU